Molecule: ribosomal RNA, 838 nt
Filed under: uncultured Bacillus sp.
Lineage: Bacteria; Bacillati; Bacillota; Bacilli; Caryophanales; Bacillaceae
Description: bacterial SSU rRNA
Rfam family: Bacterial small subunit ribosomal RNA
Source: RNAcentral
ACCGGGGAGGGUCAUUGGAAACUGGGGAACUUGAGUGCAGAAGAGGAGAGUGGAAUUCCACGUGUAGCGGUGAAAUGCGUAGAGAUGUGGAGNGAACACCAGNUGGCGAAGGCGACUCUCUGGUCUGUAACUGACGCUGAGGAGCGAAAGCGUGGGGAGCGAACAGGAUUAGAUACCCUGGUAGUCCACGCCGUAAACGAUGAGUGCUAAGUGUUAGGGGGUUUCCGCCCCUUAGUGCUGCAGCUAACGCAUUAAGCACUCCGCCUGGGGAGUACGGUCGCAAGACUGAAACUCAAAGGAAUUGACGGGGGCCCGCACAAGCGGUGGAGCAUGUGGUUUAAUUCGAAGCAACGCGAAGAACCUUACCAGGUCUUGACAUCCUCUGACAAUCCUAGAGAUAGGACGUCCCCUUCGGGGGCAGAGUGACAGGUGGUGCAUGGUUGUCGUCAGCUCGUGUCGUGAGAUGUUGGGUUAAGUCCCGCAACGAGCGCAACCCUUGAUCUUAGUUGCCAGCAUUCAGUUGGGCACUCUAAGGUGACUGCCGGUGACAAACCNGGAGGAAGGUGGGGAUGACGUCAAAUCAUCAUGCCCCUUAUGACCNUGGGCUACACACGUGCUACAAUGGACAGAACAAAGGGCAGCGAAACCGCGAGGUUAAGCCAANUCCCACAAAUCUGUUCUCAGUUCGGAUCGCAGUCUGCAACUCGACUGCGUGAAGCUGGAAUCGCUAGUAAUCGCGGAUCAGCAUGCCGCGGUGAAUNACGUUCCCGGGNCCUUGUACNACACCGNCCCGUCACACCACGAGAGUUUGUAANCACCCGAAGUCGGUGNAGGUAAC